CUUUGAGCAACUGUGCCUCUGAGUAUAAAAAGGAGCCCCACCUGAAAGGAGAAGAAAGCUUUAUCACCCACCCUAUGUGUCCUCUUCCUGUGUGGGACAGAGAGAUCAGGAGAGGAGUGACCGGCUGGGAAUUGGUUUGUUUUCUGUGGCACAGAGGAUCAAAGUAAAUAUAGAAGCUUUUUUCUCUCUUGCUUUCCACUCUCACUCCCUAAGGAGAACAAUUGGCAGCAGGUUUUUAUAUCUUCUCUCUGGAAAUUAACCAAUUUUAGCUUUCCUCCCAUAUACGGAAUUAUAAUACAGUAAUGGCUGUUUGUCAUGUGCUUGCUAUGUGCCAGAGAAUGUCUUCAGCAUCUUGUAUAGACUGCAUUUUACCUCAUCCCCAGGGCAACUCUACGAAAGCCAUAUAACUUGAAUUUUCAUUCUUCACCGGGCCACAGGCACCUAGAUAAGGUGCCACCCAUUCUUCUUCAUACAAAUUUUGUUAUUUCAUGCCAACAACGACUUCACGG
This 509-nucleotide long non-coding RNA is filed under the name Cricetulus griseus (Chinese hamster). Its description in RNAcentral is "lncRNA (ENSCGRG00015037952.1)". The record is from RNAcentral. Lineage: Eukaryota; Metazoa; Chordata; Mammalia; Rodentia; Cricetidae.